Molecule: ribosomal RNA, 589 nt
Filed under: uncultured Conexibacteraceae bacterium
Lineage: Bacteria; Bacillati; Actinomycetota; Thermoleophilia; Solirubrobacterales; Conexibacteraceae
Description: bacterial SSU rRNA
Rfam family: Bacterial small subunit ribosomal RNA
Source: RNAcentral
ACUCCUACGGGAGGCAGCAGUGGGGAAUCUUGCGCAAUGCGCGAAAGCGUGACGCAGCAACGCCGCGUGGGGGAAGAAGGCUUUCGGGUUGUAAACCCCUUUCAGUUGGGACGAAGCCUCGGCGGUGAAUAGCCGUUCGGGGUGACGGUACCUUCACAAGAAGCACCGGCYAACUACGUGCCAGCAGCCGCGGUAAUACGUAGGGUGCAAGCGUUGUCCGGAAUUAUUGGGCGUAAAGAGCGUGUAGGCGGCCCGAUUAGUCCSCUSUGAAAGUCCAGGGCUCAACCCUGGAAUGCCGGUGGAUACUGUCGGGCUAGAGUCCGGAAGGGGCGAGUGGAAUUCCUGGKGUAGCGGUGAAAUGCGCAGAUAUCAGGAGGAACACCAAUGGCGAAGGCAGCUCGCUGGGACGUGACUGACGCUGAGACGSGAAAGCGUGGGGAGCAAACAGGAUUAGAUACCCUGGUAGUCCACSCKGUAAACGAUGGCAACUAGAUGUGGGGGGUGUCGACUCCCCCCGUGUCGAAGCUAACGCAUUAAKUUGCCCGCCUGGGGAGUACGGCCGCAAGGCUAAAACUCAAASGAAUUGACG